This 921-nucleotide ribosomal RNA is filed under the name Fomitiporia sp. RNAcentral describes it as "partial large subunit ribosomal RNA". It matches the Rfam family "Eukaryotic large subunit ribosomal RNA", at positions 47 to 945 of the family's 3401-position model. Lineage: Eukaryota; Fungi; Basidiomycota; Agaricomycetes; Hymenochaetales; Hymenochaetaceae. The record is from RNAcentral.
UAAGCGGAGGAAAAGAAACUAACAAGGAUUCCCCUAGUAACUGCGAGUGAAGCGGGAAGAGCUCAAAUUUAAAAUCUGGCAGUCUUCUGGCUGUCCGAGUUGUAAUCUGGAGAAGCGUUUUCUGUGUUAGACCGUGUACAAGUCUCCUGGAACGGAGCGUCAUAGAGGGUGAGAAUCCCGUCCAUGACACGGACUACUAAUACUUUGUGAUACGCUCUCGAAGAGUCGAGUUGUUUGGGAAUGCAGCUCAAAAUGGGUGGUAAAUUCCAUCUAAAGCUAAAUACAGGCGAGAGACCGAUAGCGAACAAGUACCGUGAGGGAAAGAUGAAAAGCACUUUGGAAAGAGAGUUAAACAGUACGUGAAAUUGUUGAAAGGGAAACGCUUGAAGUCAGUCGUGUUGUGCAGAACUCAGCCUUGCCUCGGCUUGGUGUACUUUCUGCACAACGGGUCAACAUCAAUUUUGGCCCAUGGAGAAAGGUGGGGGGAAUGUAGCGCUGUUUCGGCAGCGUGUUAUAGCCCUCUAUUGUAUACAUGGGCUGGGAUUGAGGAUYGCAGCACGCCCUUGUGGCCGGGGGUUYGCCCUACGUACCGUGCUUAGGAUGUUGGCAGAAUGGCUUUAAGCGACCCGUCUUGAAACACGGACCAAGGAGUCUAACAUGCUUGCGAGUGUUCGGGUGGAAAACCCUUGUGCGUAAUGAAAGUGAAAGUUGGGAACCUCCGCAAGGGGGUGCACCGACGCCCGGCCCUGACGUUCUCUGACGGUGCUGCGGUAGAGCAAGUAUGCUAGGACCCGAAAGAUGGUGAACUAUGCCUGAAUAGGGCGAAGCCAGAGGAAACUCUGGUGGAGGCUCGUAGCGAUUCUGACGUGCAAAUCGAUCGUCAAAUUUGGGUAUAGGGGCGAAAGACUAAUCGAACCAUCU